This 800-nucleotide ribosomal RNA is filed under the name uncultured bacterium. RNAcentral's name for it is "bacterial SSU rRNA". It matches the Rfam family "Bacterial small subunit ribosomal RNA", at positions 8 to 793 of the family's 1533-position model. The record is from RNAcentral.
AGAGUUUGAUCCUGGCUCAGAACGAACGCUGGCGGCGCGUUUUAAGCAUGCAAGUCGAACGGCAAGCACUGUAGCAAUAUGGUGCUGAGAGUGGCGAACGGGUGAGUAACACGUAGGUGAUCUACCCUUGGAUGGGGGAUAGUCCGUGGAAACACGGGGUAAUACCGCAUGAGGCCUUGUGGAUAGAGCCAUGAGGUGAAAGGUGCAAUUGCACCGUCUGGGGAUGAGCCUGCGCUCCAUUAGGUAGUUGGCGGGGUAAGAGCCCACCAAGCCUACGAUGGAUAGCCGGCCUGAGAGGGUGUACGGCCACACUGGAACUGAGACACGGUCCAGACUCCUACGGGAGGCAGCAGCUAAGAAUCUUCCGCAAUGGGGGAAACCCUGACGGAGCGACGCCGCGUGGACGAUGGAGGCCGUAAGGUUGUAAAGUCCUUUUGCAGGUGAAGAAUAACUGGGGGAGUGGAAAGCCCCUGGGAUGACGUUAGCCUGCGAAUAAGCCCCGGCUAAUUACGUGCCAGCAGCCGCGGUAAUACGUAUGGGGCAAGCGUUGUUCGGAGUUAUUGGGCGUAAAGGGCGUGUAGGCGGCUCAUCAAGUCUGGUGUGAAAUCGCGGGGCUUAACCCUGCGUAUGCGCUGGAAACUGGUGGGCUUGAGUUCUUGAGGGGAAGCUGGAAUUCCAGGUGUAGGGGUGAAAUCUGUAGAUAUCUGGAAGAACACCGGUGGCGAAGGCGAGCUUCUAUCAGAGGACUGACGCUGAGGCGCGAAAGCGUGGGGAGCAAACAGGAUUAGAUACCCUGGCAG